This 554-nucleotide long non-coding RNA is filed under the name Ornithorhynchus anatinus (platypus). RNAcentral's name for it is "lncRNA (ENSOANG00000043121.1)". The record is from RNAcentral. Lineage: Eukaryota; Metazoa; Chordata; Mammalia; Monotremata; Ornithorhynchidae.
UGGCUUUUGGCAGCUCGUCAGGUCCGGGUGUUGAGCAGAAACCCUCUCAAGCCUCACACCUCAUUGUGUGAAACUGUUUACGGAUUGCCUUUUUCUGCAAAUAUUACAAGCAGGGCACUCCAAGGAGAGGGAGCAAAGUUUGCCCGCCCAAGAACUCUGACCUUCAACAGGAAAGGACAGGUAGACUCCGUCAGUACGGGUGAACCGGCCGACAAUCACGUCAAAAUUCGGAGAAGACUUGGUGAUUCUAGGUGCGUUGACUGGGUGGCGGCUGCUGAAAUGACUUCCCCGGGGAAGAACUAGGAUGGGACUUUUUAAAGAAGAAGGAGCCUGAAAAUUCAACUAGUCAAUCAUGUUUAUGUGCAGAGCAAUAUACUAAACACUCGAGGGAGCAGAUUAUAAACUAUAUAACAGAGUUAGUAGACAGGCUCCCUGCCCUCAGUGAGCUUGCAGUCUAGAGGGGGGAUGUAAGCUAGACUCACUGUGGGACUGUAUUUACUGUUCUACAGUACCCUCUAAGUGCUUAGUACAGUGUUCUGCGUACAGUAAGCGCU